ACGUAUGGGGCGAGCGUUGUUCGGAAUCAUUGGGCGUAAAGGGCGCGCAGGCGGUUAUACAAGCCUGGUGUGAAAGACCGCAGCUUAACUGCGGGAGCGCGCUGGGAACUGUAUGACUAGAGUUCAAGAGGGGAAGCUGGAAUUCCUGGUGUAGGGGUGAAAUCUGUAGAUAUCAGGAAGAACAUCAGUGGCGAAGGCGAGCUUCUGGCUAUGAACUGACGCUGAGGCGCGAAAGCGUGGGGAGCGAACAGG
Molecule: ribosomal RNA, 252 nt
Filed under: uncultured bacterium
Lineage: Bacteria
Description: partial 16S ribosomal RNA
Rfam family: Bacterial small subunit ribosomal RNA
Source: RNAcentral